UUGAACGCUGGCGGCAGGCCUAACACAUGCAAGUCGAGCGGAUGAAGGGAGCUUGCUCCUGGAUUCAGCGGCGGACGGGUGAGUAAUGCCUAGGAAUCUGCCUGGUAGUGGGGGAUAACGUCCGGAAACGGGCGCUAAUACCGCAUACGUCCUGAGGGAGAAAGUGGGGGAUCUUCGGACCUCACGCUAUCAGAUGAGCCUAGGUCGGAUUAGCUAGUUGGGGGGGUAAAGGCCUACCAAGGCAACGAUCCGUAACUGGUCUGAGAGGAUGAUCAGUCACACUGGAACUGAGACACGGUCCAGACUCCUACGGGAGGCAGCAGUGGGGAAUAUUGGACAAUGGGCGAAAGCCUGAUCCAGCCAUGCCGCGUGUGUGAAGAAGGUCUUCGGAUUGUAAAGCACUUUAAGUUGGGAGGAAGGGCAGUAAGUUAAUACCUUGCUGUUUUGACGUUACCAACAGAAUAAGCACCGGCUAACUUCGUG
RNAcentral lists this ribosomal RNA (483 nucleotides) under uncultured bacterium. RNAcentral describes it as "partial 16S ribosomal RNA". It matches the Rfam family "Bacterial small subunit ribosomal RNA", at positions 30 to 507 of the family's 1533-position model. The record is from RNAcentral.